UACAGGCGCAUACAAGAAUACAGAACAAAAAGGCUACUAGAAGUGGCGUAUCUCUUCAGUGCCGUGUUCCCACUUAGAUCAAUCAUGAGCUGGACUCUUCUACUUCUGCUGGCCUCUCUGUCAUAUGUCCAUGGCAUCAGUCUGACCUCGUCUCCUGCUGAGGUUAGGUCUCCGGGGAACUCCGUGAAGGUGUCCUGUCAGGUCUCUGGAUAUGCUCUCAGUGACUAUGGCACAUGCUGGAUCAGACAGCCACCAGGCAAAAGUAUGCAGUGGAUUGGGAUCAUAUGGGGUGGAGGAUCCAUAGACUAUGCAGGAUCCUUUAAGAGUCGCUUCACCAUCUCCAGAGACACGAGCAGUAAUGUGCUCUUCUUAGACAUCACUGGCCUGCUGCCUGAAGACUCAGCUGUUUAUUAUUGUGCAAAAACAGCCACAGCAUGUACCCGGCAGCCUGUCAGUGCAAUGUUUCCCGGAGCUCGCACUGACGAUGUCACCUCGCCUGGUGAUGACGUUUGCAACCGAAAUGCCAAGAUCGGAGAACACUACAAUUUUGAAAGUUCAGCAUCUCUAGAGGCACUGGCAGUAACACAAUAA
This is a non-coding RNA of Electrophorus electricus (electric eel), 591 nucleotides long. The record is from the annotation of a RefSeq genome assembly. Lineage: Eukaryota; Metazoa; Chordata; Actinopteri; Gymnotiformes; Gymnotidae.